AUGGAGCGGGAGACGCCGGAGGCCGCGCCACCGCCGACCUUUCUCCGCGGGGAGGAGGCGUCGUCGGGGUCAUCGUCGGCGCGCGCGCGGUUCGAGCGCCUGAUCCGGCGGGUGCAGGCGGAGGUGUGCGCGGCGCUCGAGGCAGUCGAGGAGGGCAGCGGCAGCGGUGGCGUGGUGUUUCGGGAGGACGCGUGGACGCGCCCGGGCGGGGGCGGCGGUAUCAGCCGCGUGCUGCAGGGCGGCCGCGUGUUCGAGAAGGCCGCCGUGAACGUGUCCGUCGUCUACGGAGUCAUGCCCCCAGACGCGUACCGCGCGGCGAGGCCCGACGCGGCGGCGGACGCGGAGAAGGCCGGGCCCGUGCCCUUCUUCGCUGCCGGCGUUAGCUCGGUUAUCCACCCAAACAAUCCCUUCGCGCCAACAUUGCAUUUCAACUACAGAUAUUUCGAGACAGAGGCACCGCAAGAUAUUACUGCUGCAGAUGCUCCUGGAGCACCCAGGCAGUGGCGGUUUGGAGGUGGUACUGACUUGACACCAUCGUACAUCAUCGAAGAGGAUAUCAAACAUUUUCAUUCUGUUCAAAAACAAGCAUGCGAUAAGUUUGAUCCAACCUUCUACCCAAGAUUCAAAAAAUGGUGCGAUGAUUAUUUCCGUAUCAAGCAUCGUGGUGAACGCCGUGGGGUGGGCGGAAUAUUCUUUGAUGAUCUCAGUGACCAUGAUCAAGAAACUCUUCUUGACUUCUCGACAGAGUGUGCGGCCUCUGUAAUUCCUGCAUACAUCCCCAUCAUAGAACGUCGGAAAGAUACCCCAUUUACAGAAGACCACAGGGCAUGGCAGCAGCUACGGAGAGGUCGCUAUGUGGAAUUCAACCUCGUCUACGAUCGUGGCACCACAUUUGGCCUCAAAACUGGAGGAAGGAUUGAGAGUAUCCUUGCUUCCCUCCCUCUGACCGCACGGUGGGAGUAUGAUCAUAAACGGCAAGAAGGGACUGAAGAAUGGAAACUUCUCGACGUGUGCAUCAAUCCAAAGGAAUGGAUCUGA
RNAcentral lists this ribosomal RNA (1038 nucleotides) under Triticum aestivum (bread wheat). Its description in RNAcentral is "partial small subunit ribosomal RNA". The record is from RNAcentral. Lineage: Eukaryota; Viridiplantae; Streptophyta; Magnoliopsida; Poales; Poaceae.